GUCCCUGUAGCGCAAUGGAUAGCGCUUUGGACUUCUAAUCCAAAUGUCACGAGUUUGAAUCCCGCCUGGGAUG
RNAcentral lists this transfer RNA (73 nucleotides) under Trichonephila inaurata madagascariensis. It matches the Rfam family "tRNA". From Rfam's summary of the family: Transfer RNA (tRNA) molecules are approximately 80 nucleotides in length. Their secondary structure includes four short double-helical elements and three loops (D, anti-codon, and T loops). Lineage: Eukaryota; Metazoa; Arthropoda; Arachnida; Araneae; Nephilidae. The record is from Rfam by way of RNAcentral.